RNAcentral lists this ribosomal RNA (530 nucleotides) under Cupidaspis beshearae. RNAcentral describes it as "eukaryotic LSU rRNA". The record is from RNAcentral. Lineage: Eukaryota; Metazoa; Arthropoda; Insecta; Hemiptera; Diaspididae.
AUCUGGGCGGCGGAAUUCAGGAUGGCUGGCGGGUUUCGCGCUCGUCCGGCCGUUUGAUAUUUCCGUCGCCGUGUCAGACGUCGCGACCUGUUCGUCGUCGGUCCCUGCUCGGAGGAAUCGCGAUCGAGUUCGUUGCGGGCGCGCUUCGGCGUGUUCUGCGGCGAAGACGCGGCUCUCUGACUGACGACGGACAGUAGGCAACGGUGUCCGGCGCCGUGUCUCGCACUCGGCGUCGGUGCCGGUCAGCGACGAUUUCUUCGGGCCUCUUUCCGACCCGUCUUGAAACACGGACCAAGGAGUCUAACAUGUGCGCGAGUCGCGGGGUUUCGAGCGUGCCACGGUGCGCUCGUUACUUCCGAAACCCGUACGUUGAAGGCGUAAUGAAAGUGAACAGGGAAGAUGGCGUUCCGAGUCCACGUACCGUGAUCGAGUAUCGCGGCCGGACGUCCGCACUCCCGGGGCGUCUCAAUGGCUCGUCGCGGAUGCGGACGGUCGUCUUUCGGGGCGGCCGUCGGUCUGCGCCGGUCCGA